UCCCAGGGUAGCCUAGUGGACAUGGCAUCUGCCCGGUAAGCGGAACAUUGUGGGUUCGAUUCCCAUCCUUGGAC
Molecule: non-coding RNA, 74 nt
Organism: Cordylochernes scorpioides
Lineage: Eukaryota; Metazoa; Arthropoda; Arachnida; Pseudoscorpiones; Chernetidae
Source: the annotation of a GenBank genome assembly